RNAcentral lists this unclassified non-coding RNA (315 nucleotides) under uncultured fungus. Its description in RNAcentral is "sequence contains 5.8S rRNA gene". The record is from RNAcentral. Lineage: Eukaryota; Fungi.
GAACGCACCUUGCGCCCUUUGGCUAUUCCGAAGGGCAUGCCUGUUUGAGUAUCAUGAACACCUCAACUCUCAUGGUUUGCCAUGAUGAGCUUGGACUAUGGGGGUCUUGCUGGCCUGUGGUCAGCUCCUCUCAAAUGAAUCAGCUUGCCAGUGUUUGGUGGCAUCACAGGUGUGAUAACUAUCUACGCUUGUGACCGUUCACCAGGUAACCUUCAGCGAUGGAGGUUCGCUGGAGCUCACAGACGUCUCUCCCCAGGGAGGACAGCUUCUAAAUGUUUGAUCUCAAAUCAGGUAGGACUACCCGCUGAACUUAAG